RNAcentral lists this ribosomal RNA (514 nucleotides) under uncultured soil bacterium. Its description in RNAcentral is "bacterial SSU rRNA". It matches the Rfam family "Bacterial small subunit ribosomal RNA", at positions 26 to 517 of the family's 1533-position model. The record is from RNAcentral.
AGAUUGAACGCUGGCGGAAUGCUUUACACAUGCAAGUCGAACGGCAGCACGGGACUCAGGCAACUGAGCCCUGGUGGCGAGUGGCGAACGGGUGAGUAACAUAUCGGAACGUACCCAGUCGUGGGGGGAUAACUCUCCGAAAGGAGAGCUAAUACCGCAUACGUCCUGAGGGAGAAAGCGGGGGACCUAAGGGUAACUGAGGGCCUCGCGCGAUUGGAGCGGCCGAUAUCGGAUUAGCUAGUUGGUGAGGUAAAGGCUCACCAAGGCGACGAUCCGUAGCGGGUCUGAGAGGACGACCCGCCACACUGGAACUGAGACACGGUCCAGACUCCUACGGGAGGCAGCAGUGGGGAAUUUUGGACAAUGGGGGCAACCCUGAUCCAGCCAUUCCGCGUGAGUGAAGAAGGCCUCGGUUGUAAGCUCUUUCAGCAGGAACGAAACGGUGGUACGUUAAUACGGCCUAUUAAUGACGUACCUGCAGAAGAAGCACCGCUAACUACGUGCCAGCAGACCG